This 216-nucleotide ribosomal RNA is filed under the name Glomeromycotina sp. RNAcentral's name for it is "partial small subunit ribosomal RNA". The stretch from base 40 to 216 matches the Rfam family "Eukaryotic small subunit ribosomal RNA", at positions 686 to 864 of the family's 1831-position model. The record is from RNAcentral. Lineage: Eukaryota; Fungi; Glomeromycota.
GGGUCAGUAGGUUGGUCGUGCUACCGGUACGUACUGGUCUCACUGAUUCCUCCUUCCUGAAGAGCCGUAAUGCCAUUAAUUUGGUGUUGCGGGGAAACAGGACUUUUACUUUGAAAAAAUUAGAGUGUUUAAAGCAAGCUAACGCUUGAAUACAUUAGCAUGGAAUAAUGAAAUAGGACGAUCGAUCCUAUUUUGUUGGUUUCUAGGAUUGACGUA